ACUCAAAGGAAUAGACGGGGACCCGCACAAGCAGCGGAGCAUGUGGUUUAAUUCGAAGAUACGCGAAGAACCUUACCAAGGCUUGACAUCGUAUGACAGGUAUAGAGAUAUACUUUCCCAGCAAUGGGCAUAUAGACAGGUGGUGCAUGGUUGUCGUCAGCUCGUGUCGUGAGAUGUUCGGUUAAGUCCGGCAACGAGCGCAACCCUUAUGGUAUGUUGCCAAUAUUCAGUUAGGAACUCAUAUCAGACUGCCGCGGAUAACGCGGAGGAAGGCGGGGACGACGUCAAAUCAUCAUGCCCCUUACGUCUUGGGCUACACACGUGCUACAAUGGGCGUUACAAAGAGCAGCGAACUGGCAACAGUAAGCGAAUCUCAAAAAAGCGCUCUCAGUUCAGAUCGCGGGCUGCAACCCGCCCGCGUGAAGCAGGAGUUGCUAGUAAUCCCGAAUCAGAAUGUCGGGGUGAAUGCGUUCCCGGGUCUUGUACACACCGCCCGU
Molecule: ribosomal RNA, 497 nt
Filed under: uncultured bacterium
Lineage: Bacteria
Description: bacterial SSU rRNA
Rfam family: Bacterial small subunit ribosomal RNA
Source: RNAcentral